This is a long non-coding RNA of Epinephelus fuscoguttatus (brown-marbled grouper), 4789 nucleotides long. RefSeq lists it as uncharacterized. The record is from RefSeq and is a predicted model, not a curated record. The transcript has 3 exons. Lineage: Eukaryota; Metazoa; Chordata; Actinopteri; Perciformes; Serranidae.
CAGACUGUGGUUCAGUUCAGCGCUCUGAUGUCUGCGGUGUCUUUGUCUACUCAGGCGUCAAAAUCCCUGUUGUUACUUAGAAACGUCCGUCAACAGCAGAACAGCUCCGCCCCCUCACUCUACGACCAGCUGUGACAUCAGCUGAAUCACACUGAGAACACUUGAAUGCUACACACUGCCUUAAACAACCUGACCGAGGACGCCUGAAGGCAACACGGGUGUUUUCUGUCGGAGUAUCUGCAGUUUGCUGGCAGCUCUUCAGCCUCAAACACUCUCGAUCUGAUUGAUGUGUUCAGAUAUAUCGAAGUGAUGUGUUCAGGUGUGUUAAGAUAUGUCCAGGUGAUGUGUUAAGAUAUAUCCAGGUGAUGUGUUCAGGUAUGUCCAGGUGAUGUGUUCAGGUAUGUCCAGGUGAUGUGUUCAGGUGUGUUAAGAUAUAUCCAGGUGAUGAGUUAAGAUAUAUCCAGGUGAUGUGUUCAGGUAUGUCCAGGUGAUGUGUUCAGGUGUGUUAAGAUAUAUCCAGGUGAUGUGUUAAGAUAUAUCCAGGUGAUGUGUUCAGGUAUGUCCAGGUGAUGUGUUCAGGUGUGUUAAGAUAUAUCCAGGUGAUGAGUUAAGAUAUAUCCAGGUGAUGUGUUCAGGUGUGUUAAGAUAUAUCCAGGUGAUGUGUUCAGGUAUGUCCAGGUGAUGUGUUCAGGUGUGUUAAGAUAUAUCCAGGUGAUGUGUUCAGGUAUGUCCAGGUGAUGUGUUCAGGUGUGUUAAGAUAUGUCCAGGUGAUGUGUUCAGGUGUGUUAAAAUAUAUCCAGGUGAUGUGUUCAGGUGUGUUAAGAUAUAUCCAUGUGAUGUGUUCAGGUGUGUUAAGAUAUAUCCAGGUGAUGUGUUCAGGUGUGUUAAGAUAUGUCCAGGUGAUGUGUUCAGGUGUGUUAAGAUAUAUCCAGGUGAUGUGUUCAGGUGUGUUAAGAUAUAUCCAGGUGAUGUGUUCAGGUAUGUCCAGGUGAUGUGUUCAGGUGUGUUAAGAUAUGUCCAGGUGAUGUGUUCAGGUGUGUUAAGAUAUAUCCAGGUGAUGUGUUCAGGUGUGUUAAGAUAUAUCCAGGUGAUGUGUUAAGAUAUAUCCACGUGAUGUGUUCAGGUGUGUUAAGAUAUAUCCACGUGAUGUGUCCAGGUGUGUUAAGGUAUGUCCAGGUGAUGUGUUCAGGUGUGUUAAGAUAUAUCCAGGUGAUGUGUUCAGGUAUGUCCAGGUGAUGUGUUCAGGUGUGUUAAGAUAUGUCCAGGUGAUGUGUUCAGGUGUGUUAAGAUAUAUCCAGGUGAUGUGUUCAGGUGUGUUAAGAUAUAUCCAGGUGAUGUGUUCAGGUAUGUCCAGGUGAUGUGUUCAGGUGUGUUAAGAUAUAUCCAGGUGAUGUGCUAAGAUAUAUCCACGUGAUGUGUUCAGGUGUGUUAAGAUAUAUCCACGUGAUGUGUCCAGGUGUGUUAAGGUAUGUCCAGGUGAUGUGUUCAGGUGAUGUGUUCAGGUGUGUUGAGAUAUAUCCAGGUGAUGUGUUCAGGUAUGUGCAGGUGAUGUGUUCAGGUGUGUUCAGAUAUAUCCAGGCAGUGUGUUCAGGCGCGUCAGUGUAAACAGUGCUGCAGAUCUCAGAGUAUCUGCAGUGUGCUGGCAGCUCUUGAGCCUCAGACACUCUCAGGCUGAGUUAUGUCUCCAUGUUGGACCACUUUGGGACCAUUAGUGUGAUUCCAGCAGCUGGAGCCAAGCAGACAAUCAAUAUUUGUAAUUGAGUGGGAGAUAAUUGGCCCGUUUCUAAAACCACAACAAGCAGGAAGUGGACUCGGACUUUACGGUCCAAUCCUUCGCCAUCUGUCUCAGAACCUGUUUUAUUUCUCUGAUUUACAACAUGUUGGACAUGUCCGAGACAGAACCUUUUAACCACGUGAUCAGCCCAACCUGAAAUGACCUGACACAACAUUUAGGAGGAGGACACAACAUUUAGGAGGAGGACACAUCAGAGAGGAGAGAGGACACAUCAGAGGACAUGUCUCAGUGUCCAGCCUGCAGUCUGAAACAUAUAAAUUCAUAUUUAAAGAAGAGUGGCGUGCAGUCGUGGCGAGCGUGGUUUCAAUGACCCGCUCUGAUGUUAAUGGAGGGGGUGUGUCCUCAGCCUGUUUGUGUCCUCGUCUCAUGGCGUGGUGUGUUCACUGUGUCACAGCUGCACACGAACUUCCUGCUUCACCUCACAGUUUGGCGUUUCAAACCAUAAAUUAGAAAUUAUAGUUUUGUUUUUAUCUGACACACUCGAAAGCACCACAGUAAAUUAAAUAAUAAUUAAAUAAGUCAGAAGACGAAGAACAGGAAGACCACUGAUGAAGGUGGAGAAGAGUGACGGCCCCAAAUAGCCUCCCUGUGGAACGCUACAUUUUCACGUUUAAACAUGUGAAAACAACCCCAUCAUAAAGCCUGCGGUGUGUUCAGGAACUUUGAAUAUUCAUCCAGCCAUUUAUCAUCCAAUUGGUCCGAAUUUUUAUUCACUGCGUUUUUACUGAUGUUUCACUGUUUGUUCCAUCUGUGAUGUCACCACUCGUGUCACACCUCAGUGUUUGAUUCUGUCUCAGCGCUGACAGAUUUUAUCAGACCACAGAGGGACAGAAGACAGGAGACAGAGGACAGAGGGACAGAGGGAUGUGGUCUUCUGUAAACCCUACCCCUCUGAGACAAAUUGAUCUGUGAUAUUGAUCUUUACAAAUAAAUAAAGUUGAAUUAAUAACCUGUGAACGUGUCGUCCUGCAGGACUCAAGGACUCGUCUUUGCUUCAGUGUGUUUGUGUCUGUACUCCUUGAGAGUUUUUUCGGGGGUUCCUUCAGUCAUUACUGCAAUUUUCAUGUUCCUCUGCGGCUUGCCAUCACGCUGGAGGAAAUCUGAGAGAAUUUAUUUUUCUUUUCUUUUUUUUUUUCUUUCUUUUUUUUUUUUUUAAAGAUAUUUUUGGGGGCAUUUUUAAGCCUUUAAUCGAUAGAACAGAUGAGCGUGAAGGGGGGAGAGAGAGAGGGAACGACAUGCAGCAAAGGGCCACGGGCCGGAGCCGAACCCGGGCCGCUGCGGUAACAGCCUUGUAUAUCUUGUAUAUGGGGACCUGCUCUACCACUAAGCCACCGACGUCCCGUGAGGGAAUUUCUUUGAAAAGUCCCCAGACAGGAAGUUGGAGUGACAGCAGGCGGAGACUGGCGUUGCAGGCGGAGGCUGACGCAGCAGCAGGCGGAGGCCGGCGCAGCAGCAGGUGGAGGCUGACGCUGCAGGCGCCGGGAGAGUCCACAGACUAAAAUCAUCUGUGUUGCGGAGGUUGUGUCUGUGUGAGCGGCAAGAAAUCGACUCCCACAUGCUGUUCCCUUGCUGUGAUUGUUGGCAUGAAAUGAGUCUGGCAGAGCAUCACCAUAUCAUCGCGUGAGCUUGUCACCGCAUCAGCUGGCUGCUGAUUUACUAACUGAGGGCGGAGCUCCGAGCUGUCUGUGUCUUUGGCGACUUUCUGAUGAGCUGCUGAAGCUGCAGGUUCAUUUCUUUAUGUCACACAGGUCGUUCAUGUUCCAACAUACGUUCAAUUGUAAAACCUGUGUUGGCGAGCUGUGGACAUUUAAAGCACGAAUUCUUCCAGAACAACCUGUGGCUAAAAGACUAGUCACAGUGGAUUGACACCGUGAAAAGUUCCUGCAGGACAGACACCACCAUCUCAUCCAACCAUGACACGCGUCAGGUUAUCAACAUGCUGAACAUGUUCCUGUUAGCAGCAUCUGCUCCACUGCUAACGUUACGAGUCAUCUAAUAAAUUAUAUCAUUUAAAAUUUUACUAUGAGUCCCAGUGGAAAAAAAAACCCCAAAAAUCAUUAGAUAAGGAGUGUAAGUAGUCACAUAGUAUUGCAUGUGCUCGGCCUCCGUACAAGACAAAAUAACAUCUUCAGGUGUCAGUGACCAAACAUCGUUACCCUUGACUUCAUGAAUUUGGAAAUUGUUUGACCUCAAAAUCGUAAUCGCAAUCACCAGACGAUUAAUUGCACAGCUUUAGUCUGAACUCUGUCGAGUGUCGUCGGGACUCGUCAGGUGACCUGGGCGAGAUCAGCUGUGAUGACGCUGAGCGAAGAUCUUAUUGUUGUUUAUUUGUUUACUCUGCGGUCGGUCGGACGGACCGGUCGGCUGAAUACCAACGACAUCUCGCUGCAGCACGAAGAACGUUUCAAUCAAACCUGAAGAUGCAGAGUCUUUAAAGGGACACUUUGCUUAUUUUAACUAACCCUGAUGAUUGUUUCCCUCCGUCCAAUGCAGAACCCUAACCUGUCCAGAGACGAGGCCCCGCCCACCACCCCUUUGUCUCAGACCCUGACAGAGACCUGAUCAAACAUUAAAACUAAUCAGAGCUGAUCGAUUAUCAAUAACAAUUCUGUUUCUAUGUGUAGAACAGGACUAUACUGAGACACUGGGCUGUAGGACAGAGGACUGUACUGAGACACUGGGCUGUAGGACAGGACCGUACUGAGACACUGGGCUGUCCUGUGGGGGGUGUUGUCUGGUUGAUCCUCGCUGCCUUCAGACUCUGCCCUCAUCCUCACUCAGCUGAUGUCACAGGUCAGCUGACAGCCGAUUAGUCUGUCGAAGGUUUUGUUGGAUUGAUCAGGUCACCAAGUCGCUCCAACAGGAAAUGACUCAUCUCCGACAUCUCAAUAAUCAAUUAACAGUUUGAUCAGCUCAUUGAUCGACGCUGAUGUUCUUGUCUGACCUGCACUCCUGUGCUAGACUGAAUUAUUACCUGAAUGACAUCACUUCCUU